RNAcentral lists this ribosomal RNA (630 nucleotides) under Bacillus subtilis. RNAcentral describes it as "bacterial SSU rRNA". It matches the Rfam family "Bacterial small subunit ribosomal RNA", at positions 373 to 992 of the family's 1533-position model. The record is from RNAcentral. Lineage: Bacteria; Bacillati; Bacillota; Bacilli; Caryophanales; Bacillaceae.
GGACUUUCCUCUGACGGAGCACGCCGCGUGAGUGAUGAAGGUUUUCGGAUCGUAAAACUCUGUUGUUAGGGAAGAACAAGUACCGUUCGAAUAGGGCGGUACCUUGACGGUACCUAACCAGAAAGCCACGGCUAACUACGUGCCAGCAGCCGCGGUAAUACGUAGGUGGCAAGCGUUGUCCGGAAUUAUUGGGCGUAAAGCGCGCGCAGGCGGUCUUUUAAGUCUGAUGUGAAAGCCCCCGGCUCAACCGGGGAGGGUCAUUGGAAACUGGGAGACUUGAGUGCAGAAGAGGAGAGUGGAAUUCCACGUGUAGCGGUGAAAUGCGUAGAGAUGUGGAGGAACACCAGUGGCGAAGGCGACUCUCUGGUCUGUAACUGACGCUGAGGCGCGAAAGCGUGGGGAGCGAACAGGAUUAGAUACCCUGGUAGUCCACGCCGUAAACGAUGAGUGCUAAGUGUUAGAGGGUUUCCGCCCUUUAGUGCUGCAGCAAACGCAUUAAGCACUCCGCCUGGGGAGUACGGCCGCCAAGGCUGAAACUCAAAGGAAUUGACGGGGGCCCGCACNAAGCGGUGGAGCAUGUGGUUUAAUUCGAAGCACCGCGAAGAACCUUACCAGGUCUUGACAUCCUCU